Molecule: ribosomal RNA, 458 nt
Filed under: uncultured bacterium
Lineage: Bacteria
Description: partial 16S ribosomal RNA
Rfam family: Bacterial small subunit ribosomal RNA
Source: RNAcentral
CCUACGGGAGGCUGCAGUGGGGAAUAUUGCACAAUGGGGGAAACCCUGAUGCAGCGACGCCGCGUGAGUGAAGAAGUAAUUCGUUACGUAAAGCUCUAUCAGCAGGGAAGAAACACUGACCUUACGGUCAGCAGACGGUACCUGAGUAAGAAGCCACGACUAACUACGUGCCAGCAGCCGCGGUAAUCCGUAGGGGGCAAGCGUUAUCCGGAUUUACUGGGUGUAAAGGGAGCGUAGACGGUGCGGCAAGUCUGGAGUGAAAUGCCGCAGCUUAACUGCGGAACUGCUUUGGAAACUGGCGAACUAGAGUGCGGGAGGGGUAAGCGGAAUGCCUAGGGUAGCGGUGAAAUGCGUAGAUAUUAGGAGGAACACCGGUGGCGAAGGCGGCUUACUGGACCGUAACUGACGUUGAGGCUCGAAAGCGUGGGGAGCAAACAGGAUUAGAUACCCCAGUAGUC